RNAcentral lists this long non-coding RNA (499 nucleotides) under Olea europaea subsp. europaea. The record is from RNAcentral. Lineage: Eukaryota; Viridiplantae; Streptophyta; Magnoliopsida; Lamiales; Oleaceae.
CAGAUAUAUAUAAACAGUUUGAAAGGCUGGAUACUGGUAACUGGGGAAAGAUUACCCUUGCUGAUCUUAUGGAAAGUCGUCACUGAGUUUCGAGGACAGACGUCUGCAUUGAAUUGAAGCCAACAAGGACAUUAUUCAUGGUAGUCGCAAACUAUUUUGUCACAUAUGAGGCUGUACAAAUUUUGUGAUUACAACAAUGACAAACAUGCAGUUAGAAGCUCCAAUCAUGGGCAUUUGUAGUAAAGAAACAAUGACUCUUUGACUCAGGUCCCUCCAGAAACUGAUAGACAGCCUUGGCAAUCUUUCCAGCUCAAAGGCUCAAAUCAAUUUCUUCUUUCCAGCUCAAAGGCUCAAAUCAAUUUCUUCAGGGGUUAGUCCCGGUUUUAAACUAGGUAGAAAUUUUUCUACCAAAAAUUUUGGCGUGAUGUUUGUCAAAUGGCUAGAUUGAUUAGGAAUUGCACUUAUGUCAUGUUUACUGGGGAGGAUUGAAUAGUGCUAG